CGCGAUUCGCCCUUCGGGGUGCCCAGGCGCGAAAACUUUGCAAUACACGAAAGUGUGACAGGGUCAUCCCGAGUGCCGACCGCUGAGGUUGGCUUUUACCCAGUCUAGAAAGCUGGGGGAAUAAGGAGAGGGCAAGUCUGGUGUCAGCCGCCGCGGUAAUACCAGCUCUCCGAGUGGUGUGGACGUUUAUUGGGCCUAAAGCAUCCGUAGCUGGCUGAACAAGUCCCCUGUUAAACCCACCGAUUUAAUCGUUGGUCUGCGGGGGAUACUGCUCGGCUAGGGGACGAGAGAGGCAGACGGUAUUCCCGGGGUAGGGGUGAAAUCCUAUAAUCCCGAGAAGACCACCAGUGGCGAAGGCUGUCUGCUAGAACGCGCCCGACGGUGAGGGAUGAAAGCUGGGGGAGCGAACCGGAUUAGAUACCCGGGUAGUCCCAGCUGUAAACGAUGCGGACUAGGUGUUUGGACGGCCACGUGCCGUUCUAGUGCCGCAGGGAAGCUGUUAAGUCUGCCGCCUGGGGAGUACGAUCGCAAGAUUGAAACUUAAAGGAAUUGGCGGGGGAGCAC
Molecule: ribosomal RNA, 564 nt
Filed under: uncultured archaeon
Lineage: Archaea
Description: bacterial SSU rRNA
Rfam family: Archaeal small subunit ribosomal RNA
Source: RNAcentral